This 1836-nucleotide long non-coding RNA is filed under the name Numida meleagris (helmeted guineafowl). RNAcentral describes it as "lncRNA (ENSNMEG00000000479.1)". Lineage: Eukaryota; Metazoa; Chordata; Aves; Galliformes; Numididae. The record is from RNAcentral.
GGGGCGCUGUGGGGCGAUGUGGGGCGCUAUGGGGCUGCCAUGACAAACCCCGCUACCUGAUGGGCAUGGGGUGAGGCGAUGUGGGGCAAUGUGGGGCAAUGACGGGCACUAUGGGGCAGUGUGGGGCGAUGUGGGGCGGUGUGGGGUGCUAUGGGGCUGCCGCACCACAAACCGCGCUACCUCAUGGGCGUGGGGUGAGGCGAUGUGGGGCAAUGUGGGGUGCUAUGGGGCGAUGUGGGGCGCUAUGGGGCAAUGUGGGGCGCUAUGGGGCAGUGUGGGGCGCUAUGGGGCUGCCGCACGACAAACCCCGCUACCUCAUGGGCAUGGGGUGAGGUGCUAUGGGGCGCUGUGGGGCGCUGUGGGGCGCUGUGGGGCAAUGAGGGGCAGUGUGGGGCGCUAUGGGGCAGUGUGGGGCGCUAUGGGGCAGUGUGGGGUGCUAUGGGGCAGUGUGGGGCUAUGUGGGGCGCUAUGGGGCUGCCAUGACAAACCCCGCUACCUGAUGGGCAUGGGGUGAGGCCCUAUGGGGCGGUGUGGGGCGCUAUGGGGCAGUGUGGGGCGCUAUGGGGCAGUGUGGGGUGAUGUGGGGCGCUAUGGGGCGGUGUGGGACAGUGUGGGGUGCUAUGGGGCUGCCAAGGGGCAAACCCCGCUACCUCAUGGGCAUGGGCCACAGCCGCGCGUUCCUGCACGCGCUGCUGCGCUCCGACCCCGCGGCGCUGCACCACAUCACCGUGCACAACAUCGCGUACCAGGUGCGGGGCUCUAUGGGGCGCGGAUCUAUGGGGCGCGGCUCUAUGGGGUGCAAAUCUAUGGGGCACAGAUCUAUGGGGUGUGGAUCUAUGGGGCGCAAAUCUAUGGGGCUUAUGUCUAUGGGGUACAGCUCUAUGGGUGCUCGGAUCUAUGGGGCUCAGCUCUGUGGGUGCUCGGAUCUAUGGGAGUGUGGAUCUGUGGGGUGCUGCUCUAUGGGGCACAGAUCUGUGGGGCGCAGAUCUAUGGGGUGUAGAUCUAUAGGGGCCUGGAUCUAUGGGAGUGUGGAUCUAUGGGGCUCAGCUCUAUGGGGGCGCAGAUCUAUGGGGUGCUGCUCUAUGGGAUGAGGAUCUAUGGGGACAAAGAUCUAUGGGGCACAAAUCUAUGGGGCUCAGAUCUAUGGGGACAAAGAUCUAUGGGGGCGCAGAUCUAUGGGGCUCAGAUCUAUGGGGUGCUGCUCUAUGGGAUGAGGAUUUAUGGGGACAAAGAUCUAUGGGGCACAGCUCUAUGGGGUGUGGAUCUAUGGGGCUGGAUCUAUAGGAGCCCGGAUUUAUGGGGCACAGCUCUAUGGGGCUUAGCUCUAUAGGGGCCCGGAUCUAUGGGGCCCAGCUCUAUGGGGCUUAGCUCUAUAGGGGCCCAGAUCUAUGGGGCACAGCUCUAUGGGGCUUAGCUCUAUAGGGGCCUGGAUCUAUGGGGCCCAGCUCUAUAGGGGCCUGGAUCUAUGGGGCACAGCUCUAUGGGGCGCAGAUCUAUAGGAGCCCGGAUCUAUGGGGCACAGCUCUAUGGGCCGCAGAUCUAUAGGGGCCUGGAUCUAUGGGGCACAGCUCUAUGGGCCGCAGAUCUAUAGGGGCUGGAUCUAUGGGGCUUAGCUCUCUAGGGGCCCGGAUCUAUGGGGCCCAGCUCUAUGGGGCGCAGAGCUCUAUGGGGCUUAGCUCUAUAGGGGCCCGGAUCUAUGGGGCCCAGCUCUAUGGGGCUUAGCUCUAUAGGGGCCCGGAUCUAUGGGGCUUAGCUCUAUAGGGGCCCAGAUCUAUGGGGCACAGCUCUAUAGGAGCCCGGAUCUAUGGGGCCCGGAUCUAUGGGGCGCAGAUCUAU